Molecule: ribosomal RNA, 440 nt
Filed under: uncultured bacterium
Lineage: Bacteria
Description: bacterial SSU rRNA
Rfam family: Bacterial small subunit ribosomal RNA
Source: RNAcentral
CCUACGGGGGGCUGCAGUGGGGAAUCUUGCACAAUGGGCGAAAGCCUGAUGCAGCGACGCCGCGUGAGGGAUGACGGCCUUCGGGUUGUAAACCUCUUUCAGCUCCGACGAAGCGCAAGUGACGGUAGGAGCAGAAGAAGCACCGGCCAACUACGUGCCAGCAGCCGCGGUAAUACGUAGGGUGCAAGCGUUGUCCGGAAUUAUUGGGCGUAAAGAGCUCGUAGGCGGUCUGUCACGUCGGCUGUGAAAACCUGGGGCUCAACCCCGGGCCUGCAUCCGAUACGGGCAGACUAGAAUUCGGUAGGGGAGACUGGAAUUCCUGGUGUAGCGGUGGAAUGCGCAGAUAUCAGGAGGAACACCGGUGGCGAAGGCGGGUCUCUGGGCCGACAUUGACGCUGAGGAGCGAAAGCGUGGGGAGCGAACAGGAUUAGAUACCCUAG